RNAcentral lists this unclassified non-coding RNA (194 nucleotides) under uncultured Agaricales. Its description in RNAcentral is "sequence contains ITS2". The record is from RNAcentral. Lineage: Eukaryota; Fungi; Basidiomycota; Agaricomycetes; Agaricales.
AAUUCUCAACCUUAUCAAUUAGCUUUGAUAUUGGCUUGGAUUGUGGGGGUUGCUGGCGACAAACCAUUGUCGGCUCCCCUUAAAUGCAUUAGCUGGUGUUUCCCUCCUUGCUAUUAUUGGUGUGAUAAUUAUCUACGCCAUGCUUGGUUUUAACACUGCUUCUAACCGUCUGUUGAUUCAGACAAUACAUGACC